Molecule: ribosomal RNA, 445 nt
Filed under: soil isolate KBS-EC4
Lineage: Bacteria
Description: bacterial SSU rRNA
Rfam family: Bacterial small subunit ribosomal RNA
Source: RNAcentral
UGAACGCUGGCGGCAUGCGCGGCAGCGCGGGGCAACCUGGCGGCGAGUGGCGAACGGGUGAGUAAUAUAUCGGAACGUACCCUGGAGUGGGGGAUAACGUAGCGAAAGUUACGCUAAUACCGCAUACGAUCUAAGGAUGAAAGUGGGGGAUCGCAAGACCUCAUGCUCCUGGAGCGGCCGAUAUCUGAUUAGCUAGUUGGUNGGGUAAAAGCCNACCAAGGCAUCGAUCAGUAGCUGGUCUGAGAGGACGACCAGCCACACUGGAACUGAGACACGGUCCAGACUCCUACGGGAGGCAGCAGUGGGGAAUUUUGGACAAUGGGCGCAAGCCUGAUCCAGCAAUGCCGCGUGAGUGAAGAAGGCCUUCGGGUUGUAAAGCUCUUUUGUCAGGGAAGAAACGGCCUGUUCUAAUACAGUGGGCUAAUGACGGUACCUGAAGAAUAAG